CGAGAAAGCCCGCAAGGGUGAGUACAGCGGCGCACGGGUGAGUAACACGUGGGUAAUCUGCCCUGAAGCCCGGAAUAACUCCCCGAAAGGGGUGCUAAUGCCGGAUGAGACCACGGGAGGACAUCCUCCAGUGGGAAAAGGUGGCCUCUGCAUGCGAGCUAUCACUUCAGGAUGAGCCCGCGGCCCAUCAGCUCGUUGGCGGGGUAACGGCCCACCAAGGCUACGACGGGUAGCUGGUCUGAGAGGACGAUCAGCCACACUGGAACUGAGACACGGUCCAGACUCCUACGGGAGGCAGCAGUGGGGAAUCUUGCGCAAUGGGCGAAAGCCUGACGCAGCAACGCCGCGUGUGUGAUGAAGGUCUUCGGAUCGUAAAGCACUGUCGCGAGGGACG
Molecule: ribosomal RNA, 394 nt
Filed under: uncultured Anaeromyxobacter sp.
Lineage: Bacteria; Pseudomonadati; Myxococcota; Myxococcia; Myxococcales; Anaeromyxobacteraceae
Description: bacterial SSU rRNA
Rfam family: Bacterial small subunit ribosomal RNA
Source: RNAcentral